UCCCCUAAACGAAAAUCUUAAAAAACUACAUUGUAGAUGCUAUUGUGUUAUUGUAUGAAAAGAAGGGUCUUCUAUUUAUAGAUGUCCAAAACUCUUCCUCCAAGAAAGAGGUUAGCCAAAUAUGAAAAAGAAUUAUAUUUUUUCUUGCAGGAAAAGUAAAAGUAAUUAUGGUAACUUUUAUUUUCCUUCUAAGAAAAAGAAAAACUUAAAUAUAGUAAGAAAAUCAGGGCAAAAAUCCUAACAAAUCUCCCCUUUUUGGCUUGAUUUUCUUCAAAAUAUUCUUGAUCCUCCUUUUUCUUGUGCAUGAUCUUUGUUCUUCAUAUAUAUUCUUCAUAUAUCACUGCUGCUUACCAUGAUUAAAAAUUAAUAUGGGUUAAAAUUAAAGCCCUAUGCAUUAAAAAUAAAAGCAUGGGUUGAUAAGAUUAAAAGUGGAGCCUUGUGCAUUGAAAGUGAGCACAGGUUAAGAGUGGAGCUCAUGCGUUAAAAAUAAAUGCACGAGUUGAAAGGAGCCCAAGCGUUUAAGUAAGUAUGGGUUGAAAAUUGGAGCCCAUAAACAUGGGUUGAAAAUUGAUUUUGAUUUUAAAGAUGAAUAAGCAGCAGGAUUAUUGAAAUUUUGUUUGAAAUUUUUUCUCCACAUGUAGUUUGACAAAAAUCUUCAUUAUCAUCCAAAUUGUUGCAGCUUGAUUUUGAAACCGCUUUGAACCUGUUUAAUCUCGUCUCACCACACCAUUGGACCAUUGAACCGUAAGCUCUGAUACCACUUGUUGGGUUCGAAAUUGAGAGGGCGUCAUGCGAAAGCUAUUAGUUGUAAACUAUUGAGACGAUAAAUCAAACGAAAAGAAAAACAUACUAAAAACAUGAUUAUUAUGUGAUUUGGCCAAUUGACCUACAUAUAAAAACCUAAUAUAAAAGAAAACAUAAAAACUAUUAGAGAAAAAAUCUCCCCCUAAGCGAAAAUCUUAAAAGACUACAUUGUAG
RNAcentral lists this long non-coding RNA (978 nucleotides) under Capsicum annuum. RNAcentral's name for it is "long non-coding RNA (CANN_LNC002410)". Lineage: Eukaryota; Viridiplantae; Streptophyta; Magnoliopsida; Solanales; Solanaceae. The record is from RNAcentral.